This is a microRNA precursor of Accipiter nisus (Eurasian sparrowhawk), 78 nucleotides long. The record is from Ensembl. NCBI's taxonomy places the organism in Eukaryota, Metazoa, Chordata, Aves, Accipitriformes, Accipitridae.
UCUCUCUGCUUUCAGCUUCUUUACAGUGUUGCCUUGUGGCAUGGAGUUCAAGCAGCAUUGUACAGGGCUAUCAAAGCA